RNAcentral lists this small nuclear RNA (257 nucleotides) under Mus pahari (shrew mouse). RNAcentral describes it as "sRNA (MGP_PahariEiJ_G0008219.1)". It matches the Rfam family "7SK RNA", at positions 52 to 331 of the family's 331-position model. From Rfam's summary of the family: 7SK was discovered as an abundant small nuclear RNA in the mid-70s but a possible function has only recently been suggested. Two independent studies have found that 7SK RNA binds the CDK9/cyclin T complex (known as elongation factor P-TEFb). Lineage: Eukaryota; Metazoa; Chordata; Mammalia; Rodentia; Muridae. The record is from RNAcentral.
GGAUAUAGGGAUGCUCUGGUUAAGUGUGUGUCCCCUUCCUCCCCCACUGCUUUAUGUGCAGUCCUUCCAAAGCUGUACAUUUAGUCAAGAGGACAACCUUCCCUAGAGUAGGACCAGUCUUCUCUCAAGGCUAUAUGAGUAGCUGAGUUUCCCCUGCCAGAACUUCUAAACAAUUCCUCAAAAACAAUUCCAUUAGCUAGAGAGAUGGCUCAGGGUUAAGAGCAUUGCCAUGUGGGUGCUGGGAAUUGAACUGAUCC